Molecule: ribosomal RNA, 494 nt
Filed under: uncultured bacterium
Lineage: Bacteria
Description: partial 16S ribosomal RNA
Rfam family: Bacterial small subunit ribosomal RNA
Source: RNAcentral
GACGAACGCUGGCGGCGUGCCUAAUACAUGCAAGUAGAACGCUGAAGGAGGAGCUUGCUUCUCUGGAUGAGUUGCGAACGGGUGAGUACGCGUAGGUAACCUACCUGGUAGCGGGGGAUAACUAUUGGAAACGAUAGCUAAUACCGCAUAAGAGUAGAUGUCGCAUGACAUUUGCUUAAAAGGUGCAAUUGCAUCACUACCAGAUGGACCUGCGUUGUAUUAGCUAGUUGGUGAGGUAACGGCUCACCAAGGCAACGAUACAUAGCCGACCUGAGAGGGUGAUCGGCCACACUGGGACUGAGACACGGCCCAGACUCCUACGGGAGGCAGCAGUAGGGAAUCUUCGGCAAUGGACGGAAGUCUGACCGAGCAACGCCGCGUGAGUGAAGAAGGUUUUCGGAUCGUAAAGCUCUGUUGUAAGAGAAGAACGAGUGUGAGAGUGGAAAGUUCACACUGUGACGGUAUCUUACCAGAAAGGGACGGCUAACUACGUG